UACGGGGGGAGCAAGCGUUGUUCGGAUUUACUGGGCGUAAAGGGCGCGUAGGCGGCCACUGCAAGUCAGUUGUGAAAUCUCCGAGCUUAACUCGGAACGGUCAACUGAUACUGCAGGGCUAGAGUGCGGAAGGGGCAACUGGAAUUCUCGGUGUAGCGGUGAAAUGCGUAGAUAUCCGCAGGAACAUCCGAGGCGAAAGCGGCUCGCUGGAUCACAACUGACGCUGAGGGACGAAAGCUAGGGGAGCAAACAGG
RNAcentral lists this ribosomal RNA (254 nucleotides) under uncultured prokaryote. RNAcentral describes it as "partial 16S ribosomal RNA". It matches the Rfam family "Bacterial small subunit ribosomal RNA", at positions 524 to 776 of the family's 1533-position model. The record is from RNAcentral.